GACGAACGCUGGCGGCGUGCCUAAUACAUGCCAGUUGAGCGCUGAAGGUUGGUACUUGUACCAACUGGAUGAGCAGCGAACGGGUGAGUAACGCGUGGGGAAUCUGCCUUUGAGCGGGGGACAACAUUUGGAAACGAAUGCUAAUACCGCAUAAAAACUUUAAACACAAGUUUUAAGUUUGAAAGAUGCAAUUGCAUCACUCAAAGAUGAUCCCGCGUUGUAUUAGCUAGUUGGUGAGGUAAAGGCUCACCAAGGCGAUGAUACAUAGCCGACCUGAGAGGGUGAUCGGCCACUUUGGGACUGAGACACGGCCCAAACUCCUACGGGAGGCAGCAGUAGGGAAUCUUCGGCAAUGGACGAAAGUCUGGCCGAGCAACGCCGCGUGAGUGAAGAAGGUUUUCGGAUCGUAAAACUCUGUUGGUAGAGAAGAACGUUGGUGAGAGUGGAAAGCUCAUCAAGUGACGGUAACUACCCAGAAAGGGACGGCUAACUACGUG
RNAcentral lists this ribosomal RNA (497 nucleotides) under uncultured bacterium. RNAcentral describes it as "partial 16S ribosomal RNA". It matches the Rfam family "Bacterial small subunit ribosomal RNA", at positions 28 to 507 of the family's 1533-position model. The record is from RNAcentral.